RNAcentral lists this ribosomal RNA (468 nucleotides) under uncultured bacterium. RNAcentral describes it as "partial 16S ribosomal RNA". It matches the Rfam family "Bacterial small subunit ribosomal RNA", at positions 28 to 507 of the family's 1533-position model. The record is from RNAcentral.
GACGAACGCUGGCGGCGUGCUUAACACAUGCAAGUCGAACGGAAAGGCCCUGCUUUUGUUGGUUGCUCGAGUGGCGAACGGGUGAGUAACACGUGAGUAACCUGCCCUUGUCUUUGGGAUAACUUCAGGAAACUGGGGCUAAUACCGGAUAUGAGCUCCUGCUGCAUGUUGUGGGUUGGAAAGUUUCGGCGUUUGUGGCUGGACUCGCGGCUUAUCAGCUUGUUGGUGGGGUAGUUGCUUACCAAGGCUUUGACGGGUAGCCGGCCUGAGAGGGUGACCGGCCACAUUGGGACUGAGAGACGGAGCAGAAUCCUAAGGGAGGCAGUAGGGGGGAAUAUUGCACGAUGGGCGGAAGCGUGAUGCAGCAACGCCGCGUGCGGGAUGACGGCCUUCGAGGUGUAAACAGAUUUCGCAUGUAACGAAGAGUGAGUGACGGUAAUGGGUAAAGAAGCACCGGCUAACUACGUG